This 98-nucleotide signal recognition particle RNA is filed under the name Legionellaceae bacterium. Its description in RNAcentral is "signal recognition particle sRNA small type". It matches the Rfam family "Bacterial small signal recognition particle RNA". Rfam says of the family: The signal recognition particle (SRP) is a universally conserved ribonucleoprotein involved in the co-translational targeting of proteins to membranes. Archaeal SRP consists of a 7S RNA and homologues of the eukaryotic SRP19 and SRP54 proteins. In most bacteria, the SRP consists of a 4.5S RNA and the Ffh protein (a homologue of the eukaryotic SRP54 protein). The record is from RNAcentral. Lineage: Bacteria; Pseudomonadati; Pseudomonadota; Gammaproteobacteria; Legionellales; Legionellaceae.
UUUGGGUCCCCUCGCGGCGAAGUCGUGCGAACCCCGUCAGGCCCGGAAGGGAGCAGCGGUAGCACUUUAAUUCGUGCGCAGAGGUGUGGCUCAUAGUG